This 320-nucleotide ribosomal RNA is filed under the name uncultured eukaryote. RNAcentral's name for it is "partial 18S ribosomal RNA". It matches the Rfam family "Eukaryotic small subunit ribosomal RNA", at positions 1470 to 1796 of the family's 1831-position model. The record is from RNAcentral.
CCCUUAGAUGUUCUGGGCUGCACGCGCGCUACACUGAUGCGCUCAACGAGUUUAUGACCUUGCCCGGAAGGGUUGGGUAAUCUUCUUAAAACGCAUCGUGAUGGGGAUAGAUUAUUGCAAUUAUUACUCUUCAACGAGGAAUUCCUAGUAAGCGCCAGUCAGCAGCUUGCGCUGAUUACGUCCCUGCCCUUUGUACACACCGCCCGUCGCUCCUACCGAUGGGUGAUCCGGUGAAUGAUUCGGACUUCAGCGGCUCCCCUGGGGUGCGCCGGAGAAAGUUUUGUGAACCUUAUCACUUGGAGGAAGGAGAAGUCGUAACA